AACCGCAUAGAGCCAAACGGGUGGAUCCGCAGAGUCGACCCGGGGAAUUCAGCCCGGCCGCAAGCGGCGCUCGCAAAGUUCGGAUCCGCAAGGACCGGGCCAGCGGGACGUCCCAGUGGCAGGGUGCACUUUCUCCGCGGUCGAGUGCUACGACCGGUUUCGAGGCGGUCAGAAGCCCGGCGGAAAGGUAGCGCCGCCCUUCGGGGUGUCGUGUUAUAGGCCGCCGCGGUGGACUCGCCGCGAGACCGAGGACGCUUGCCGCGCCGAGCGGUCCCGGGCCGUCUUGGGAGGUUCGACCUCGGCUGCACUGCUCCGCAGAGCACCGUAACCGCCGCCCUAGCACGGGUCCGGAGACUGCCGGCGCCUCGGGUCAGUAGCGAAU
This 382-nucleotide ribosomal RNA is filed under the name Corbicula sp. H6. RNAcentral's name for it is "partial 28S ribosomal RNA". Lineage: Eukaryota; Metazoa; Mollusca; Bivalvia; Venerida; Cyrenidae. The record is from RNAcentral.